Molecule: ribosomal RNA, 396 nt
Filed under: uncultured bacterium
Lineage: Bacteria
Description: partial 16S ribosomal RNA
Rfam family: Bacterial small subunit ribosomal RNA
Source: RNAcentral
AUACGUAGGGCGCGAGCGUUGUCCGGAAUUACUGGGUGUAAAGGGAGCGUAGGCGGGCCUGCAAGUCAGAUGUGAAAUACCGGGGCUUCACCCCGGAGCUGCAUUUGAAACUGUGGUUCUUGAGUGAAGUAGAGGCAAGCGGCAUUCCUGGUGUAGCGGUGAAAUGCGUAGAUAUCAGGAGGAACACCGGUGGCGAAGGCGGCUUGCUGGGCUUUUACUGACGCUGAGGCUCGAAAGCGUGGGUAGCAAACAGGAUUAGAUACCCUGGUAGUCCACGCUGUAAACGAUGAUUACUAGGUGUGGGGGGACUGACCCCUUCCGUGCCGCAGUUAACACAAUAAGUAAUCCACCUGGGGAGUACGGCCGCAAGGUUGAAACUCAAAGGAAUUGGCGGGG